Molecule: ribosomal RNA, 253 nt
Filed under: uncultured bacterium
Lineage: Bacteria
Description: partial 16S ribosomal RNA
Rfam family: Bacterial small subunit ribosomal RNA
Source: RNAcentral
UACAGGGGGGGCAAGCGUUGUUCGGAAUUACUGGGCGUAAAGGGCCAGUAGGCGGCCAACUAAGUCACACGUGAAAUCCCCAGGCUUAACCUGGGAACUGCGUGUGAUACUGGAUGGCUUGAAUUCGGGAGAGGGAUGCAGAAUUCCAGGUGUAGCGGUGAAAUGCGUAGAUAUCUGGAGGAAUACCGGUGGCGAAGGCGGCAUCCUGGCCUGUUCUUGACGCUGAGGCGCGAAAGCUAGGGGAGCAAACGGG